RNAcentral lists this ribosomal RNA (611 nucleotides) under uncultured bacterium. Its description in RNAcentral is "bacterial SSU rRNA". It matches the Rfam family "Bacterial small subunit ribosomal RNA", at positions 42 to 644 of the family's 1533-position model. The record is from RNAcentral.
GCAGGCUUAACACAUGCAAGUCGAGCGGUAACAGGGGGUGCUUGCACCCCGCUGACGAGCGGCGGACGGGUGAGUAAUGCAUAGGAAACUGCCCAGUAGUGGGGGAUAGCCCGGGGAAACCCGGAUUAAUACCGCGUACGCCCUUCGGGGGAAAGCAGGGGAUCUUCGGACCUUGCGCUAUUGGAUGUGCCUAUGUCGGAUUAGCUAGUUGGUGGGGUAAAGGCCUACCAAGGCGACGAUCCGUAGCUGGUCUGAGAGGAUGAUCAGCCACAUCGGGACUGAGACACGGCCCGAACUCCUACGGGAGGCAGCAGUGGGGAAUAUUGGACAAUGGGGGCAACCCUGAUCCAGCCAUGCCGCGUGUGUGAAGAAGGCUUUCGGGUUGUAAAGCACUUUCAGUGAGGAGGAAAACUCUGCGACUAAUACUCGUAGGGCUUGACGUUACUCACAGAAGAAGCACCGGCUAACUCCGUGCCAGCAGCCGCGGUAAUACGGAGGGUGCAAGCGUUAAUCGGAAUUACUGGGCGUAAAGCGCGCGUAGGUGGUUUGAUAAGCGAGAUGUGAAAGCCCCGGGCUUAACCUGGGAACGGCAUUUCGAACUGUCAGGCUAG